GAGAAAGAAAGGAAAUAAAAGAAAGAAAACCUUUCACGACUCUUCUCCUCCAUAGCCUUUCGUCUCCAUCGAGUUUUUCUCCGUCUGUUAAUGAAAAAAAAAAUUAUGACGAACACUGAUAGUGAAACUUUGAAACUUUCUCUCACUAUAUUCGCGAAGAAGACACCAUCAUCGAAUCAAAUUCAGAUCACACAAUUCGCCAUGGAUAACUCAACUACAUAUCUGUUAUCCAGAUCGGAAACCGCCGUAACCUACGAUUCACCUUAUCCACUCUACGCCAUGGCUUUCUCAUCUCUCAACAGUUCCACGGAAUCGCCGUGGGAAGCUUCCUCAAAAGAUUACAACAACUGAACAACCGAAUUGACAUCCUCUCUUUCGAUCUGAUUCCAUGACCGUGAAGCCUCUCCCGAAUCUCUCGUUCCAGCGUCCUUAUCCUCCUACAAAGCUAAUGUUCAGUCCUCUUCUCUCCGUCGUCCUUCAUCCGGAGAUCUACUUGCUUUUUCCGGCGAUUUCCUCUGUCUUUGGGAUAUUAACCAAGAUUCUUCCACAGUUGAGCCUAUCUCGGUUCUCAACAACAGGAAAACGAGUUUUUGCAUUGAGCGAUGGGCAAUAGUGAAGAGAUCAUUUUCAUGAUGUAAAGAGCAAAGAAGAGACAAAUAAACCCCUUUAUGAUUUACUCCUUUCGGUAUGUUGUAGAACCAGUGAUGUUAUCGAGCCUAUGAUAAAGCCCCGGUGGUAUGUUAAUCGCAACAUGAUUGGAAAGGAAGCUCUUGGUGUUGCCACCACUGAUGAAAAAAAGAAGCCCGAGUUUAUACCAAAGCAAUACACAGCAGAAUGGUGAAGGUUUCUUUCAUUUACCCCAUUUAUUAUCAUUCUUAUUGCACCAUUGUCCGGAUAAGUUGUGAUAGCUGUUUAAGAUGUCACUACACCAUCUAUUAACAAUUACUGCCUUACAGUUGGUUAGAGAACAUCAGUGACUCGUGUAUUUUGAGAUAGCUUUGGUGGGGAUACAUAAUACCAGCAUGGUAUACCACUCUAGAGGGAGAUUACAGGGAAUAUGGACGGUAAUGCUAACCGGAACAGUUCUUCAGACAUGUGUACUGCUUUUGAUGGGAAGGCGAAAAAGAUAGAGGAGAAGAGACUGAAGAUAUCGAAGUUUGUCUCAAUCCUUAUAAGUUUUAAUGUUAGCUUUUUUGGAUAAAACUUGACAGCAUAGUACAAGACUUGUAUGAUAUGUAAGACUUGUUUAAAUUAAUGUUAUGUAUGUUGAUGAUAUUUAUGAAAUAAUGUUUUUUUUUA
Camelina sativa (false flax) is the source of this 1299-nucleotide non-coding RNA. The record is from RefSeq and is a predicted model, not a curated record. NCBI's taxonomy places the organism in Eukaryota, Viridiplantae, Streptophyta, Magnoliopsida, Brassicales, Brassicaceae.